GCUUACGGCCAUACUACCUUAGGCACGCCCGAUCUCGUCUGAUCUCGGAAGCUAAGCAGGGUCGGGCCUGGUUAGUACUUGGAUGGGUGACCGCCUGGGAAUACCUGGUGCUGUAAGUA
RNAcentral lists this ribosomal RNA (119 nucleotides) under Gadus morhua (Atlantic cod). The record is from RNAcentral. Lineage: Eukaryota; Metazoa; Chordata; Actinopteri; Gadiformes; Gadidae.